AGGCAAAGUCUAUCCGGCAUAAAGUUUCUGGCAUGUGCAUCGCUGUUGGUGGAAAUAGUCCAGUUUUGGCUAAUUGCAAUAAUGAACCUGACCAAAUUUGGGAACUCAGCCUUUCAAAGCUCAAGAGCUAAGAAAUACUCUCGGUGAUAAAGGGAGGUGUUUAUAAAUAUACGACUCGCUUUGAUAAUUAUAAAAUUACUACAUCAGCCCUUGCACGGUAUAUAUCUUCAUUGAACGAACCACCAAUAAACGCUAGAAGGGUAAAUAAAAAGAAAGGAGUAUUAAUUUUAGACAUAUGAAUUUUAAACACCAGCUUAUAGUUUGAAAAUGACUUUACAUUCAUUUCAAAACUUUUUUGCAAACGGUGCUAUAUGUGUUGGUUCAUGUAGUACAAAUAGCGAAUCUUGCCAUACAUGGGAACAAAUAUGUCAAUUUUUAUGCGGCAUGCUUCGUAGUUUUUUCAGAGACGAUCAUAAUUGCACAAAUCUGAAGGAUAAGUGCAUCCAGGUUGAAAAGUCGCGCGAUUGCAUGUUCUUCGCAUGAAAAAAUUAUGCAGUCACUUGCAUGCAUGAAACACAUGCGAAAUAAAUAGUUUACUCAUCCAUUUGAAUGGUACAACAAGUAUCAAAACUCAGAACUUUAUUCAAAAUAUUUUGUUUAUUAGGUGCCUACCGCAAUAAAAUUUUGCCAUCCACUUGUUCACAUUUGAAAAACAACACCGAUCGUUAACAAGACAAACGGAAGCUCAUGCAUAAAUCAAUACAAUAUAUAGACGUACAAUUUACUGUUUUAGUAAAAUUACAGUUCAUACUGGAAACCAUUAAUCAUUUGUUUCGAUAGGUUUUGGAGUGUCCUUGUAGUAUCAUGUGAUCAUGUAAGUCACGUGAUAUAACCUCAUGGGGGCAGAAUGUAAGUUGCAUGGCGGUUUACAAAUAAAAUGUGUUUACAACAUUGCAUCUCUCCGAUCAGGUAGUGUGUCAAAAAUAUCAUUAACAUGUUCACCAUUCACCAACAUACACACUCGAGUACAUACACACACUCCUAUAAACAUCUGGUUGAU
This 1060-nucleotide long non-coding RNA is filed under the name Paramuricea clavata. The record is from RNAcentral. Lineage: Eukaryota; Metazoa; Cnidaria; Anthozoa; Malacalcyonacea; Plexauridae.